UACGUAGGGCGCAAGCGUUAUCCGGAAUUAUUGGGCGUAAAGAGCUCGUAGGCGGUUUGUCGCGUCUGCCGUGAAAGUCCGGGGCUCAACUCCGGAUCUGCGGUGGGUACGGGCAGACUAGGGUGAUGUAGGGGAGACUGGAGUUCCUGGUGUAGCGGUGAAAUGCGCAGAUAUCAGGAGGAACACCGAUGGCGAAGGCAGGUCUCUGGGCAUUAACUGACGCUGAGGAGCGAAAGCAUGGGGAGCGAACAGG
This 253-nucleotide ribosomal RNA is filed under the name uncultured bacterium. Its description in RNAcentral is "partial 16S ribosomal RNA". It matches the Rfam family "Bacterial small subunit ribosomal RNA", at positions 524 to 776 of the family's 1533-position model. The record is from RNAcentral.